Molecule: ribosomal RNA, 1481 nt
Filed under: Lactiplantibacillus plantarum
Lineage: Bacteria; Bacillati; Bacillota; Bacilli; Lactobacillales; Lactobacillaceae
Description: Lactobacillus plantarum partial 16S ribosomal RNA
Rfam family: Bacterial small subunit ribosomal RNA
Source: RNAcentral
UUUGAUCCUGGCUCAGAAUGAACGCGGGCGGGUGCCUAAUACAUGCAAGUCGAACGAACUCUGGUAUUGAUUGGUGCUUGCAUCAUGAUUUACAUUUGAGUGAGUGGCGAACUGGUGAGUAACACGUGGGAAACCUGCCCAGAAGCGGGGGAUAACACCUGGAAACAGAUGCUAAUACCGCAUAACAACUUGGACCGCAUGGUCCGAGCUUGAAAGAUGGCUUCGGCUAUCACUUUUGGAUGGUCCCGCGGCGUAUUAGCUAGAUGGUGGGGUAACGGCUCACCAUGGCAAUGAUACGUAGCCGACCUGAGAGGGUAAUCGGCCACAUUGGGACUGAGACACGGCCCAAACUCCUACGGGAGGCAGCAGUAGGGAAUCUUCCACAAUGGACGAAAGUCUGAUGGAGCAACGCCGCGUGAGUGAAGAAGGGUUUCGGCUCGUAAAACUCUGUUGUUAAAGAAGAACAUAUCUGAGAGUAACUGUUCAGGUAUUGACGGUAUUUAACCAGAAAGCCACGGCUAACUACGUGCCAGCAGCCGCGGUAAUACGUAGGUGGCAAGCGUUGUCCGGAUUUAUUGGGCGUAAAGCGAGCGCAGGCGGUUUUUUAAGUCUGAUGUGAAAGCCUUCGGCUCAACCGAAGAAGUGCAUCGGAAACUGGGAAACUUGAGUGCAGAAGAGGACAGUGGAACUCCAUGUGUAGCGGUGAAAUGCGUAGAUAUAUGGAAGAACACCAGUGGCGAAGGCGGCUGUCUGGUCUGUAACUGACGCUGAGGCUCGAAAGUAUGGGUAGCAAACAGGAUUAGAUACCCUGGUAGUCCAUACCGUAAACGAUGAAUGCUAAGUGUUGGAGGGUUUCCGCCCUUCAGUGCUGCAGCUAACGCAUUAAGCAUUCCGCCUGGGGAGUACGGCCGCAAGGCUGAAACUCAAAGGAAUUGACGGGGGCCCGCACAAGCGGUGGAGCAUGUGGUUUAAUUCGAAGCUACGCGAAGAACCUUACCAGGUCUUGACAUACUAUGCAAAUCUAAGAGAUUAGACGUUCCCUUCGGGGACAUGGAUACAGGUGGUGCAUGGUUGUCGUCAGCUCGUGUCGUGAGAUGUUGGGUUAAGUCCCGCAACGAGCGCAACCCUUAUUAUCAGUUGCCAGCAUUAAGUUGGGCACUCUGGUGAGACUGCCGGUGACAAACCGGAGGAAGGUGGGGAUGACGUCAAAUCAUCAUGCCCCUUAUGACCUGGGCUACACACGUGCUACAAUGGAUGGUACAACGAGUUGCGAACUCGCGAGAGUAAGCUAAUCUCUUAAAGCCAUUCUCAGUUCGGAUUGUAGGCUGCAACUCGCCUACAUGAAGUCGGAAUCGCUAGUAAUCGCGGAUCAGCAUGCCGCGGUGAAUACGUUCCCGGGCCUUGUACACCCGCCCGUCACGCCAUGAGAGUUUAUAACACCCAAAGUCGGUGGGGGUAACCUUUUUAGGAACCAGCCGCCU